This 496-nucleotide ribosomal RNA is filed under the name uncultured bacterium. Its description in RNAcentral is "partial 16S ribosomal RNA". It matches the Rfam family "Bacterial small subunit ribosomal RNA", at positions 28 to 506 of the family's 1533-position model. The record is from RNAcentral.
GAUGAACGCUGGCGGCGUGCCUAAUACAUGCAAGUCGAGCGAACGGACGAGAAGCUUGCUUCUCUGAUGUUAGCGGCGGACGGGUGAGUAACACGUGGAUAACCUACCUAUAAGACUGGGAUAAAUUCGGGAAACCGGAGCUAAUACCGGAUAAUAUUUUGAACCGCAUGGUUCAAAAGUGAAAGACGGUCUUGCUGUCACUUUUAGAUGGAUCCGCGCUGCAUUAGCUAGUUGGUAAGGUAACGGCUUACCAAGGCAACGAUGCAUAGCCGACCUGAGAGGGUGAUCGGCCACACUGGAACUGAGACACGGUCCAGACUCCUACGGGAGGCAGCAGUAGGGAAUCUUCCGCAAUGGGCGAAAGCCUGACGGAGCAACGCCGCGUGAGUGAUGAAGGUCUUCGGAUCGUAAAACUCUGUUAUUAGGGAAGAACAUAUGUGUAAGUAACUGUGCACAUCUUGACGGUACCUAAUCAGAAAGCCACGGCUAACUACGU